GUGUGUGGGUCUGUGACAGGGUCCAACAGGGCCUGGUCCGUGUCUGGUCCCCCAAAUCUGUCGUCCCUGCCCCCAGGUGCUUCCUCAUUCUCUUUUAAAACCCGCUUCCCGCUGAGUCUGCACCCAGGAGACCAGAGAGCACCUUGCCCUUCCAUGGAAACUCAGGCCGAUCUCGUAUCUCAGGAACCUCAGGCCCUGCUUGACAGUGCUCUUCCUUCAAAAGUUCCUGCCUUUUCCGACAAGGACAGCCUGGGGGAUGAGAUGUUGGCAGCUGCGCUCCUAAAGGCCAAGUCCCAGGUGAGCUGUGGUUCCGUUUAUCCUUUUCCUUUCCAUUUUCUGUGCAAUGACAUCCCAUUCAGAGCUUUAAACCCUGAUCUCCUCCAUCAGGCCCAUGGUUCUGUCCUGCUGAAUCAUGGACCCUCACCUUCUAUCUUGGACUCCUGUCUCUCUUCCUCCACCCUGUCCUCCCUUCCUCCCUUCCCAAAUGUGCAUUUUUCACCCCAUCCUCAGUGAUUUUUUGG
RNAcentral lists this small RNA (521 nucleotides) under Pan troglodytes (chimpanzee). Its description in RNAcentral is "retained intron". The record is from RNAcentral. Lineage: Eukaryota; Metazoa; Chordata; Mammalia; Primates; Hominidae.